This 430-nucleotide ribosomal RNA is filed under the name uncultured bacterium. RNAcentral describes it as "partial 16S ribosomal RNA". It matches the Rfam family "Bacterial small subunit ribosomal RNA", at positions 31 to 507 of the family's 1533-position model. The record is from RNAcentral.
GAACGCUGGCGGCAUGCCUAACACAUGCAAGUCGAACGAGACCUUCGGGUCUAGUGGCGCACGGGUGCGUAACGCGUGGGAACCUGCCCUUAGGUUCGGGAUAACUCCCCGAAAGGGGUGCUAAUACCGGAUAAUGUCUUCAGACCAAAGAUUUAUCGCCUUUGGAUGGGCCCGCGUUGGAUUAGCUAGUUGGUAGGGUAAAAGCCUACCAAGGCGACGAUCCAUAGCUGGUCUGAGAGGAUGAUCAGCCACACUGGGACUGAGACACGGCCCAGACUCCUACGGGAGGCAGCAGUGGGGAAUAUUGGACAAUGGGCGAAAGCCUGAUCCAGCAAUGCCGCGUGAGUGAUGAAGGCCUUAGGGUUGUAAAGCUCUUUUACCCGGGAUGAUAAUGACAGUACCGGGAGAAUAAGCUCCGGCUAACUCCGUG